This 524-nucleotide ribosomal RNA is filed under the name bacterium enrichment culture clone NKeNA1. RNAcentral describes it as "bacterial SSU rRNA". It matches the Rfam family "Bacterial small subunit ribosomal RNA", at positions 28 to 538 of the family's 1533-position model. The record is from RNAcentral.
GAUUGACGCUGGCGGUAUGCUUAACACAUGCAAGUCGAACUCCAGCACACAGAGAGCUUGCUCUCUUGGUGGCGAGUGGCGGACGGGUGAGUAACGCGUAAGAAUCUGCCUAUUAGUGGGGGAUAACUCGGGGAAACUCGAGCUAAUACCGCAUACGCCCUACGGGGGAAAGUGGGGGACCUUCGGGCCUCACGCUAUUAGAUGAGCUUGCGUUGGAUUAGCUAGUUGGUAGGGUAAUGGCCUACCAAGGCGACGAUCCAUAGCUGGUCUGAGAGGACGAUCAGCCACACUGGGACUGAGACACGGCCCAGACUCCUACGGGAGGCAGCAGUGGGGAAUAUUGGACAAUGGGCGCAAGCCUGAUCCAGCAAUACCGCGUGUGUGAAGAAGGCCUGCGGGUUGUAAAGCACUUUCAAUUGUGAAGAAAAGCGGAAGGUUAAUAACCUUUUGUCUUGACGUUAACUUUAGAAGAAGCACCGGCUAACUCUGUGCCAGCAGCCGCGGUAAUACAAGCCGAAUUCCAG